This 230-nucleotide ribosomal RNA is filed under the name uncultured bacterium. Its description in RNAcentral is "partial 16S ribosomal RNA". It matches the Rfam family "Bacterial small subunit ribosomal RNA", at positions 562 to 791 of the family's 1533-position model. The record is from RNAcentral.
AAAGGGUGCGUAGGCGGCCUGUUAAGUCAGGGGUGAAAGACGGUAGCUCAACUAUCGCAGUGCCCUUGAUACUGAUGGGCUUGAAUGGACUAGAGGUAGGCGGAAUGAGACAAGUAGCGGUGAAAUGCAUAGAUAUGUCUCAGAACACCGAUUGCGAAGGCAGCUUACUAUGGUCCUAUUGACGCUGAGGCACGAAAGCGUGGGGAUCAAACAGGAUUAGAUACCCCUGU